This 27-nucleotide small RNA is filed under the name Bombyx mori (domestic silkworm). Its description in RNAcentral is "ovarian small RNA-19025". Lineage: Eukaryota; Metazoa; Arthropoda; Insecta; Lepidoptera; Bombycidae. The record is from RNAcentral.
UAACUGGAGGGGUUCUCCUAUCCUUGC